GGCCCGUUAGCUCAAUGGAUAGAGCGGUUGCCUUCUAAGCAAUUGAUAGAGGUUCGAUUCCUCUACGGGCUA
RNAcentral lists this transfer RNA (72 nucleotides) under Armatimonadota bacterium. Its description in RNAcentral is "Armatimonadetes bacterium (soil metagenome) tRNA-Arg". It matches the Rfam family "tRNA". Rfam says of the family: Transfer RNA (tRNA) molecules are approximately 80 nucleotides in length. Their secondary structure includes four short double-helical elements and three loops (D, anti-codon, and T loops). Lineage: Bacteria; Bacillati; Armatimonadota. The record is from RNAcentral.